CCCUUAGAUGUCCUGGGCCGCACGCGCGCUACACUGAUGCAUUCAACGAGUAAUUAUUCCUUGGCCGAGAGGCCUGGGUAAUCUUUUAAACGUGCAUCGUGAUAGGGAUAGAUUAUUGCAAUUAUUAAUCUUGAACGAGGAAUUCCUAGUAAACGCAGAUCAUCAAUCUGCAUUGAUUACGUCCCUGCCCUUUGUACACACCGCCCGUCGCACCUACCGAUUGAAUGGUCCGGUGAAGCCUCGGGAUUGUGGUUCUUGCCGCUUUAUUGUGGCGUGACCGCGAGAACUUGUCUAAACCUUAUCAUCUAGAGGAAGGUGAAGUCGUAACA
Molecule: ribosomal RNA, 329 nt
Filed under: uncultured eukaryote
Lineage: Eukaryota
Description: partial 18S ribosomal RNA
Rfam family: Eukaryotic small subunit ribosomal RNA
Source: RNAcentral